RNAcentral lists this transfer RNA (85 nucleotides) under Methylotenera sp. RIFCSPLOWO2_02_FULL_45_14. RNAcentral describes it as "tRNA-Leu". It matches the Rfam family "tRNA". Rfam says of the family: Transfer RNA (tRNA) molecules are approximately 80 nucleotides in length. Their secondary structure includes four short double-helical elements and three loops (D, anti-codon, and T loops). Further hydrogen bonds mediate the characteristic L-shaped molecular structure. tRNAs have two regions of fundamental functional importance: the anti-codon, which is responsible for specific mRNA codon recognition, and the 3' end, to which the tRNAs corresponding amino acid is attached (by aminoacyl-tRNA synthetases). tRNAs cope with the degeneracy of the genetic code in two manners: having more than one tRNA (with a specific anti-codon) for a particular amino acid; and 'wobble' base-pairing, i.e. permitting non-standard base-pairing at the 3rd anti-codon position. RNAcentral also lists the same sequence under 4 other names. Lineage: Bacteria; Pseudomonadati; Pseudomonadota; Betaproteobacteria; Nitrosomonadales; Methylophilaceae. The record is from RNAcentral.
GCCCGGGUGGCGGAAUUGGUAGACGCACGGGACUCAAAAUCCCGCGCAGCAAUGCGUGCCGGUUCGAUUCCGGCCCCGGGCACCA